RNAcentral lists this unclassified non-coding RNA (334 nucleotides) under soil metagenome. RNAcentral's name for it is "partial contains 5.8S ribosomal RNA, internal transcribed spacer 2, and large subunit ribosomal RNA". The stretch from base 1 to 120 matches the Rfam family "5.8S ribosomal RNA", at positions 35 to 154 of the family's 154-position model. The record is from RNAcentral.
GAUGAAGAACGUAGCGAAAUGCGAUAAGUAAUGUGAAUUGCAGAAUUCAGUGAAUCAUCGAAUCUUUGAACGCACAUUGCGCCCGCCAGUAUUCUGGCGGGCAUGCCUGUUCGAGCGUCAUUUCAACCAUCAAGCCCCAGGCUUGUGUUGGAGCCCUGCGGCUGCCGCAGCCUCCCAAAACCAGUGGCGGGCUCGCUAUCACACCGAGUGCAGUAGUUUACUCUUCGCUCAGGGCGUGUGGCGGGUGCUAGCCGUAGAACCCCCAACUUCUCAAGGUUGACCUCGGAUCAGGUAGGAAUACCCGCUGAACUUAAGCAUAUCAAUAAGCGGAGGA